Triticum aestivum (bread wheat) is the source of this 1079-nucleotide long non-coding RNA. RefSeq lists it as uncharacterized. The transcript has 2 exons. The record is from RefSeq and is a predicted model, not a curated record. Lineage: Eukaryota; Viridiplantae; Streptophyta; Magnoliopsida; Poales; Poaceae.
CGCCCGCGCCCACCACCUCCUCCCCGAUCCCCAACCUCCCCGAUCUAGCGUCGUGGACCUCUCGCCUCCCUGCCACAUCCGCCGCCGCCCCUGGCUCCGGCGCACCUCUUGCUGCCGGAGUCGGCGCGCCUCGCGCCGCCGGCCACUCCGGCCCCGUCCCUGCCCCCCGACCCUGACGCGCCUCCCACGCUCGUCCACCCCGACCACGACGCACGUCCUGCCGCCGGCCACUCCGGCCUCGUCGUCGCCCCCGCCCCCCCGACCCCAGCGCGCUUCCCGCCGCCGGCCCUGGAUCCCCACGCGCCACCGGCCCUGGAUCCCAGCAUGCCGUCGUCGGCCCUGGAUCCCAGCCUGCCGCCCCGGCCGCUAGCCCUGGAUCCCACCACCGCGCCGCCGGGCAGUGGACCUCUGUGCGCUGCGCUUCCACGAUGGCGGACGGUAACCACCAACCCAUCAUCAUCGCCUGCAGUCCGAGCCUAUACGCCUGCACCGUUCAACUCCUACCUCGAGUACGUCUGCGAUGGAUGCAUGCCACCCCCUGCUAUGGAUAAGGUGUGAUCCGCCGUCAUCUCCUCUCACGGGGUGCGCGACUCCCGGAGGCCGGACCACCUCGGCGCACCCUGCUGGGGAGCCGUUCAACAGGGCCACCUUCAGCACCCUCUCGGGCCGUCGUUCAACUACACCAACUGGGGGUCGUUCAACAAACUCGCCCGAUGCCGUACGAGGCGGAGUCCCAGCGAGGAGCUUGUCACCUCCUAGGCUAUGUGCUGCCUGAGGACUAUGGGCUCCUGUUCGUCAACGUCGCAACGAGACCCAUAGGUGAGGCAUCCAGGAGAGCACUCCAUCCAGGACUACAGAUUUUUGCUAAUAACAAAGUUCAUGUUGUCAGAAAAUUGAAGUCCAUUUAUAUGGAAUUAGAUGAUUGUUGUGUGUAUGCAGCUAUUAGCAGAAAUCUGUGCUGAAAACUUGUGGCUGAGCCAGGGCCCUGGAUGCUGAUAACAUUUGUAAUUUGUGCUCUGUACCUUCUGCAGACUUGGGGGAUGAAAAAAGGUGGCUCCUCCCAUGAAUUAUUGAUUCCA